This 497-nucleotide ribosomal RNA is filed under the name uncultured bacterium. RNAcentral describes it as "partial 16S ribosomal RNA". It matches the Rfam family "Bacterial small subunit ribosomal RNA", at positions 28 to 507 of the family's 1533-position model. The record is from RNAcentral.
GAUGAACGCUGGCGGCGUGCCUAAUACAUGCAAGUCGAGCGAACGGACGAGAAGCUUGCUUCUCUGAUGUUAGCGGCGGACGGGUGAGUAACACGUGGAUAACCUACCUAUAAGACUGGGAUAACUUCGGGAAACCGUAGCUAAUACCGGAUAAUAUUUUGAACCGCAUGGUUCAAUAGUGAAAGACGGUCUUGCUGUCACUUAUAGAUGGAUCCGCGCUGCAUUAGCUAGUUGGUAAGGUAACGGCUUACCAAGGCAACGAUGCGUAGCCGACCUGAGAGGGUGAUCGGCCACACGGGAAAUGAGACACGGUACAGACUCCUACGGGAGGCAGCAGUAGGGAAUCUUCCGCAAUGGGCGAAAGCCUGACGGAGCAAAGCCGCGUGAGUGAUGAAGGUCUUCGGAUCGUAAAACUCUGUUAUUAGGGAAGAACAAAUGUGUAAGUAACUGUGCACAUCGUGACGGUACCUAAUCAGAAAGCCACGGCUAACUACGUG